Molecule: transfer RNA, 72 nt
Filed under: Loxodonta africana (African savanna elephant)
Lineage: Eukaryota; Metazoa; Chordata; Mammalia; Proboscidea; Elephantidae
Rfam family: tRNA
About the family: Transfer RNA (tRNA) molecules are approximately 80 nucleotides in length. Their secondary structure includes four short double-helical elements and three loops (D, anti-codon, and T loops).
Source: Rfam by way of RNAcentral
GUCAGUGGUACAAAUGAUAAAUGUGCUUGGCUGCUAACCAAAAGGUUGGAAGUUCAAGUCUACCCAGUGGUA